Molecule: ribosomal RNA, 518 nt
Filed under: uncultured bacterium
Lineage: Bacteria
Description: bacterial SSU rRNA
Rfam family: Bacterial small subunit ribosomal RNA
Source: RNAcentral
CUACGUGCCAGCAGCCGCGGUAAUACGUAGGGUGCGAGCGUUAAUCGGAAUUACUGGGCGUAAAGCGAGCGCAGACGGUUACUUAAGCAGGAUGUGAAAUCCCCGGGCUCAACCUGGGAACUGCGUUCCGAACUGGGUGACUAGAGUGUGUCAGAGGGAGGUAGAAUUCCACGUGUAGCAGUGAAAUGCGUAGAGAUGUGGAGGAAUACCGAUGGCGAAGGCAGCCUCCUGGGAUAACACUGACGUUCAUGCUCGAAAGCGUGGGUAGCAAACAGGAUUAGAUACCCUGGUAGUCCACGCCGUAAACGAUGAGUGCUAGGUGUUAGACCCUUUCCGGGGUUUAGUGCCGUAGCUAACGCAUUAAGCACUCCGCCUGGGGAGUACGACCUCAAGGUUGAAACUCAAAGGAAUUGACGGGGGCCCGCACAAGCGGUGGAGCAUGUGGUUUAAUUCGAAGCAACGCGAAGAACCUUACCAGGUCUUGACAUCCCUCUGACCGCUCUAGAGAUAGAGCUUUC